GCUAAGUUUGCUCAGUUGGUAGAGUAGCUGAUUCGUAAUCUGCAGAUCGGGGGUUCAAGUUCCCUAUUUAGCUCCA
Molecule: transfer RNA, 76 nt
Filed under: Cloacimonas sp. (SeqCode)
Lineage: Bacteria; Pseudomonadati; Candidatus Cloacimonadota; Cloacimonadia (SeqCode); Cloacimonadales (SeqCode); Cloacimonadaceae (SeqCode)
Also listed under: 1 other name
Description: tRNA-Thr
Rfam family: tRNA
About the family: Transfer RNA (tRNA) molecules are approximately 80 nucleotides in length.
Source: RNAcentral